RNAcentral lists this ribosomal RNA (418 nucleotides) under Entamoeba histolytica. RNAcentral describes it as "SSU rRNA". It matches the Rfam family "Eukaryotic small subunit ribosomal RNA", at positions 1034 to 1447 of the family's 1831-position model. The record is from RNAcentral. Lineage: Eukaryota; Evosea; Mastigamoebida; Endamoebidae.
AAGCAUUGUUUCUUAAUCUGAGUAUAUCAAUAUUACCUUGUUCAGAACUUAAAGAGAAAUCUUGAGUUUAUGGACUUCAGGGGGAGUAUGGUCACAAGGCUGAAACUUAAAGGAAUUGACGGAAGGGCACACCAGGAGUGGAGCCUGCGGCUUAAUUUGACUCAACACGGGAAAACUUACCAAGACCGAACAGUAGAAGGAAUGACAGAUUAAGAGUUCUUUCAUGAUUUAUUGGGUAGUGGUGCAUGGCCGUUCUUAGUUGGUGGAGUGAUUUGUCAGGUUAAUUCCGGUAACGAACGAGACUGAAACCUAUUAAUUAGUUUUCUGCCUAUAAGACAGAAAUGUUCGCAAGAACAGGUGCGUAAGUACCACUUCUUAAAGGGACACAUUUCAAUUGUCCUAAUUUAAUUGUAGUUAU